Molecule: long non-coding RNA, 895 nt
Organism: Eriocheir sinensis (Chinese mitten crab)
Lineage: Eukaryota; Metazoa; Arthropoda; Malacostraca; Decapoda; Varunidae
Exons: 6
Source: RefSeq, a predicted model, not a curated record
CAGGGAUGUGCUGAUGGGACGCGACGAUGAGGAAGAGGCGAGGAAGGAGGGAUCUGCUGAUGGGACGCGACGAUGAGAAAGAGGCGGACUCUGUGUGUGCUGGGUGGAUGCAUGGCUGAGAAAGCAAGGGAGGAGCAGAGAGGAUGAUGGCUCUUAGGCUGGACACAGUGGAUGUUGAGGGAGGACCAGAGAGGAUGAUGGCUCUUAGGCUGGACAGAGUGAAUGCUUAGGUUCACCCGAGGGCAGUCCGUGAAUACCAGGUCAGCCAGAAGCAGAAGUUCGCCUCACCUGUACUGUAACCUGAGCAAGAUGGCUUUGGGGUAUACAUCUCUGGUCCACUAUGUUUGUUAACCCGUCUGCUGCGAUUGGCACAGAUAUUGCCUUCACUGGUAGCCUGGUAACUUAUACUCCUGGGUCUUUCUCUGCCUCUGUGGUGGAUAGUGGAGUGUUUCCCAUGUGGUAUUGGUAUGCUGGAUUAAGUGGAUAUCCCCUCCCAAGGUGCAGGACUUUACGUUUUUAUUCCACUCCUGUAGCUUGGUGAUGUCCUCUUGUAGGAAAUCCACAGUCAAGGGGUUAAGUUGCUUGCACCCUUCCAGUCAACACUCACGUUAGGUGGGAGGAAACUAUUGUAAAAAAAAUGGGUAUACAAUGAGAAUCAGAGUAAUUUGGUAACCAAUCUUUAUUCUAACAAAAUUUCAUCUGAAUACUUCAAAUCAGUUUUCUGGAGUGUUUAUUUUCCCUGAUAUAAGUAAGUACUAAUUGUCAGUGUCUACAAAUUGGUGAACAUGCCGUACUUCAGACAAGGUAUUAAUAUAAAUUCAGUGCUGGGUGUUUAUAGUCUACUGUAUGUGUAUUCUGUAUCCAUGUUUGUUUCUGUAAAUAAAAUCUGAAUUUA